This 436-nucleotide ribosomal RNA is filed under the name Dermacentor atrosignatus. RNAcentral describes it as "eukaryotic LSU rRNA". The stretch from base 356 to 436 matches the Rfam family "Eukaryotic large subunit ribosomal RNA", at positions 1 to 81 of the family's 3401-position model. Lineage: Eukaryota; Metazoa; Arthropoda; Arachnida; Ixodida; Ixodidae. The record is from RNAcentral.
CCUCGGUGGUGUUUGGGCUUCAGACACUGUUCGUUUAUCACGCAACUGCUUCAGUGCGGCGCACGCGUGCUAGGUCGGUGCAAGACACCGUCCGCCAGCCUCGUUCGGAAGCGGCUCCGCGACAGGAGCUGUGAAUGACUUGGUAGGGCGCCGUACUCGGUUCGCGCUGGGUUUUCGAACGUGUCGAGUCCUUUCCGGCAUACCGCUAAGUGCGGUGCACGCGCGCUAGGGCGGUGCAAGACACCGCCCGCCAGCCUCGUUCGGAAGCGGCUCCGCGACAGGAGCUGUGAAUGACUUGGUAGGGCGCCGUACUCGGACUUGCUGGACUGGGCGAAAAGCGAUUGAUAUCCGUUGUCGACCUCAGAUCAGGCGAGACAACCCGCUGAAUUUAAGCAUAUCACUAAGCGGAGGAAAAGAAACCAACAGGAUCCCCCGU